Pistacia vera is the source of this 416-nucleotide long non-coding RNA. RefSeq lists it as uncharacterized. Lineage: Eukaryota; Viridiplantae; Streptophyta; Magnoliopsida; Sapindales; Anacardiaceae. The transcript has 3 exons. The record is from RefSeq and is a predicted model, not a curated record.
AUAUUACAGAACUACGAAAAAGAAUACGUUACACAACAAGAGAGAAUUUAGAGAAGUUUUUAUGGUCACCAUUUCAGUUGGUAGCAACUUCGAUUAGUGGCUCAUUUCAACAGUUGGAAACAAUGGGAAGCAAGGAACUUAGAUCACAUGCAUCUGAGGUGAUAUUUUACUACCUGAACAUGGUGACUUUGAUCCUGGAGGCAAGGCCAAACUGAUGCUUAACAAGGCAUCAAAAUGGCAAUGCCAUGGAGCGGAGGUACAACAAGUUUCAUCUUCUUGGCUGUCAGCCACUCUUUUUACUCACAUUCCAAACAUUACUUCAACCUUUUACUCACAUUCCAAACAUUACAUAAACCUAUUAUAAAAACUAAAUUACAACCAAAACACCUUAAGAUAAACAUUAAAAAAAAAUCUUG